GGGAAUGCAGCGCAAAGUAGGUGGUAAAUUCCAUCUAAAGCUAAAUAUUGGUGCGAGACCGAUAGCGAACAAGUACCGUGAGGGAAAGAUGAAAAGAACUUUGAAAAGAGAGUUAAAGAGUACCUGAAACUGCUGAAAGGGAACCGAAUCGUUUCCAGUGUCUAUAAUCCGUGGUAUAUUUCAUUGGCGAGUGUGUGCGUGCGUGUGCUGUGGCAGCGGCUUUUUUGGCUGCGCUCGGCGUGUGUGCUGUGUGUGCUUGCUGGUGCCCUGUGCUGCGGUGGGACGUCAAGGUCAGUUCGUAUGCUGCGGGAAAUGGCCGCCGAGGAGGU
Molecule: ribosomal RNA, 329 nt
Organism: Phytophthora infestans T30-4
Lineage: Eukaryota; Oomycota; Peronosporomycetes; Peronosporales; Peronosporaceae
Source: RefSeq, a predicted model, not a curated record